RNAcentral lists this ribosomal RNA (410 nucleotides) under uncultured bacterium. Its description in RNAcentral is "bacterial SSU rRNA". It matches the Rfam family "Bacterial small subunit ribosomal RNA", at positions 917 to 1322 of the family's 1533-position model. The record is from RNAcentral.
GGACCCGCACAAGCGGUGGAGCAUGUGGUUUAAUUCGAUGGUACGCGCGGAACCUUACCAGCCUUUGACAUUUAUUUGAAAAGGUAAAGAGAUUUACCCCUUUUGAGCAAUCAAACAGAUAAACAGGUGUUGCAUGGCCGUCGUCAGCUCGUGUCGUGAGAUGUUGGGUUAAGUCCCGCAACGAGCGCAACCCUUUCCCCUAAUUGCCAGCACGUUAAGGUGGGAAUCUUAGGGGUACUGCCGGUGAUAAGCCGGAGGAAGGAAAGGAUGACGUCAGGUCCUCAUGGCCCUUAUAGGCUGGGCUACACAUGUGCUACAAUGGUGAUUACAAAGAGCAGCAAAGGGGCAACCUGGAGCGAAUCUCAAAAAAUCAUCUCAGUUCGGAUUGUCCUCUGCAACUCGAGGGCAUG